GGGGUAGUAAAGGUUUCGACGGGGGCUGUGAAGCUGGAGAAGCUAUCCGCAGGCGAUGCGUUAACUCGCAACCUUAAAAUUAAACGCUAACGAAAACGUAGCACUCGCUGCCUAAUUGACAGCCGUCCGCCACAGUGCACCUGCACAUUGUGAUCCGGGCGUCGAAUAUGCAGGAAACGACGUAUGUUAAGCUUUGCGCAUACGGGCGUAUCAUGAAGCUACUGAACGCAGAAGGGUGUCUGCUCUCGCCUGCCGGAGGGAAUGUCAAAUAACAGACUAUGAUAGUAGAAGGACAGGGGAGUGGUUUUCGGACACGGGUUCAAUUCCCGUCUACUCCAUAG
RNAcentral lists this transfer-messenger RNA (341 nucleotides) under Lachnospiraceae bacterium. It matches the Rfam family "transfer-messenger RNA". Rfam says of the family: Bacterial tmRNA, also known as 10Sa RNA or SsrA, is named for its dual tRNA and mRNA-like properties. Its role is to liberate the mRNA from a stalled ribosome. To accomplish this part of the tmRNA is used as a reading frame that ends in a translation stop signal. The record is from RNAcentral. Lineage: Bacteria; Bacillati; Bacillota; Clostridia; Lachnospirales; Lachnospiraceae.